UGGGAGGAGCAUGGAGAAGCCAAAUAUGUAGGAAAGGCAUCCUCUUCUUAACUCAGACUGCUGAGUCCCUAAUUACCAGCUGCAGACCACCAAUAAGGGUGGAGCACCAUGCCUGGACAUAGUGGCCAUGCUUUUAUAUUUGGACUGGACAAAAGGGAUCUUGAUAAGAGUUUAGCCUUGGAAGGACUCCUACAGAGAGCAUCUAUGACCCCCAAAGACAGAUUUCAGGCCUACUAAAAGUCUCUUUCUCAUGAGACACUUACCCAUUGAUCAAAUGACUUCUCAUUCAUGGUGUUAUCAGUCCUGUUACAAUGUUGUUUAACCUGUAACAUGGAUAUAAUAUCUGCCCUGCCUUCAUUUUAGGAUUCUAGGGAAGUGCUUGGAAGAGCACCAAGUGCAAUGCAACUAUAGGGUUAUUAAUAAUGUUGCUAUUAUACAUUUUGAUUGAUGAGAUUUUGACAAUGGGAAGGCCCCUCUCUCCCCACUCUGGCCACAGGACCUGUUCCUAAAAGUACAUCUCAGUCCACACUCCAAAGACAUUUCUUGGAAACGCUUCUCAUUGUGGUUCAUUCUAUAAAAAAGGUGCUCCGGCUCCAAGUGGGCAUGAAAGUUCAUCACAACAUUUGCCAUCAAUAAAAACCCAAUUCUUUCCAUGUGAAAAGCAUUACUGCUGUCAAAUGGUUAUUGAGUGAUGAUACCUGAAUAAUGGGAAUACAGGAACCGGAAAAUAUACAAAGGGAAACCUCACUGGGAUGCCAAAUUGUAAAGACAGAAAUGCGAAUAUCUGAGGGAAAUUAGUUAAGCAGAGCACAGCACACAUGCCUUCACCAAGGAGGGAAGAUGAGCAGGCAGGAUGGGUGGAAGGUAGGGAGAAGAAGUGCUGGGUUGAGCAUGGCUUUAUCCACUUCCUGGUGGGCCUGGG
This 922-nucleotide long non-coding RNA is filed under the name Pan troglodytes (chimpanzee). RNAcentral's name for it is "long non-coding RNA NONPTRT014642". The record is from RNAcentral. Lineage: Eukaryota; Metazoa; Chordata; Mammalia; Primates; Hominidae.